Molecule: transfer RNA, 73 nt
Filed under: Felis catus (domestic cat)
Lineage: Eukaryota; Metazoa; Chordata; Mammalia; Carnivora; Felidae
Also listed under: 2 other names
Rfam family: tRNA
About the family: Transfer RNA (tRNA) molecules are approximately 80 nucleotides in length.
Source: Rfam by way of RNAcentral
ACCUGGCUGGCUCAGUCAGUAGAGCAUAUGACUCUCAAUCUCAGGGUCGUGAGUUCGAGCCCCAUGUAGGGUA